CAUUAACCAAUUAGAAUAAAAUAAUCUUUACUCUCUUUGCCUUGAUUGGUCAACCAAACGCUUCGAAGCAUCUGUAGCAUUUUCUCGACUGCAGCCUCAGAGAAUUCUGAUAUCAUUAUUCAAUAUGGCUGCAGUGAGAGAGCAGAAUCAGAAGCCUUAUUUCCGCUUGUGCAGGCCAAAAACGAAAAAGAAGAAGACUAGUUGCAAGUAUUGUAAGAAUCCUUUUGUCAGCAAUGAGUCGUUCAUAAUUUUUAUAAUUUUCGAUAAUUAAAUGCAUUGUUAAUAGUAAAAUGUGUUCACAAUACUUUACAAAAUUUGAAAACAUCUCGUUAAUUGCGUUCUAUAACUAAUUGCUAAUAAGAAAUUGCAUACAUUGCGUUCUAUGCUAAUGGCAUUGGUAUCAUUUUUUCUAUUAUUUCAGAAAGUUCUUUAUUUAUCGCUUUUUGCAACUCUUGUCACAAUCACAAUCUUAUCAAUCACUUAUCAUUAACAUAUCAUCAAAUACAAGUCACAUAUUAUCAAGUCCUUAAAUAUGGAAGAAUUUAAAGGCAAAUCAGAAAAUAGUACCGUCUAUUUUUAUGAAGGAUAUGCUUAUAACAUUGAUAAACGUCUACUCGACGUAUCACUGGAUGCCGUGGAUUGGCAAAAGUCGGUGAAGAUGGUAAAGUUACCAUUAAUCCUUUCCAUAAUCAUGCACCUGAUAAUGCAAGAAUACAGAAAUAUGUGUUAAAACAAGAGAUGUUACGCUUAUCUCGUGAAACAUUACAAGCACCUAAAGAUAUACUUGAUGAUGUUUCUCGAAGAAAUCCUGAAUCAGCUGCAUUUAUAGCUUUCAAAUCAAUUAGAAGUCAACUGAAUAGAGAACGAAAAAAGAGCAGACCAAAAUUACCACAAUCUAUAGCUAUGCUUGCUGACGAUUUAAAUAAUUAUAUACCAAUAACUCAUAUAUAUAAAGGAAGUUUAACUGCAAAAGAUGGAAAAAAGGCAUUACUCUUCUCCAAUGAUAAACUGCUCCAGGCACUUGAAUCAUCUACUGAAUUUUUUGUGACGGUACAUUUUCUGUUGUUCCUCGAGUUUCUUCCCUUAGUCAACUUUACACAAUUCAUAUACGUUACAUAGACAAGGUUCUCGCAGUGAUAUUUGUUUUAUGCGAAGCUCGUACCACAGCUCUUUAUGAAAAAAUUUGGUCGAAAGUGAUAGAAUUUGUGCCUAAUCUGCUAAUGAACAUAAAAUUUAUCAUGACAGAUUAUGAAUGUGCAGCGAUGAGUGCAAUGGAGAAAUAUUUUCCAAAUGCUACUAUACAUGGAUGCUGGUUUCAUCUAAAUCAGGCUUUAUAAAGAAAAUGGAAUCAUUUAGGUUUACGUAAUUCUUCGAACAUCAUAUUGUCGAUGGCAAUGACAAUACCAUUGCUGCCAGAACAAUAUUUUACUCAAGCUUAUUGUAUAUUAUGGAAUACUUGUGAAGAAAAAAAUCCUGAAUAUGAGAAGUUAAAGGAAUUUUUGAAUUAUUUUGAAAAAACGUGGUUAUCCAAAGCUU
Long non-coding RNA from Formica exsecta, 1536 nucleotides. RefSeq lists it as uncharacterized. The transcript has 5 exons. The record is from RefSeq and is a predicted model, not a curated record. Lineage: Eukaryota; Metazoa; Arthropoda; Insecta; Hymenoptera; Formicidae.